Molecule: unclassified non-coding RNA, 520 nt
Filed under: uncultured Glomus
Lineage: Eukaryota; Fungi; Glomeromycota; Glomeromycetes; Glomerales; Glomeraceae
Description: SSU rRNA
Rfam family: Eukaryotic small subunit ribosomal RNA
Source: RNAcentral
AGCAGCCGCGGUAAUUCCAGCUCCAAUAGCGUAUAUUAAAGUUGCUGCAGUUAAAAGCUCGUAGUUGAAUUUCGGGACUAAUGUGUCGGUCGUGCCUCGGUACGUACUGGUUUAUUGGUUUCUCCUUUCUGAAGAACCAUGAUGUCAUUUAUUUGGUGUCGUGGGGAAUCAGGACUGUUACUUUGAAAAAUUAGAGUGUUUAAAGCAGGCUCACGCUUGAAUACAUUAGCAUGGAAUAAUGAAAUAGGACGUUUGAUUCUAUUUUGUUGGUUUCUAGGAUCGACGUAAUGAUUAAUAGGGAUAGUUGGGGGCAUUAGUAUUCAAUUGUCAGAGGUGAAAUUCUUGGAUUUAUUGAAGACUAACUACUGCGAAAGCAUUUGCCAAGGAUGUUUUCAUUAAUCAAGAACGAAAGUUAGGGAUCGAAGACGAUCAGAUACCGUCGUAGUCUUAACCAUAAACUAUGCCGACUAGGGAUCGGGAUGAUGUUAAUUUUUAUGUACUCAUUCGGCGCCUUACGGGU